This 406-nucleotide ribosomal RNA is filed under the name uncultured bacterium. RNAcentral describes it as "partial 16S ribosomal RNA". It matches the Rfam family "Bacterial small subunit ribosomal RNA", at positions 30 to 526 of the family's 1533-position model. The record is from RNAcentral.
AUUGAACGCUGGCGGCAGGCCUAACACAUGCAAGUCGAACGAGUGGCGGACGGGUGAGUAAUGUCUGGGAAACUGCCUGCUGGAGGGGGAUAACUAAUGGAAACGGUAGCUAAUACAGCAUACCAUCGGAUGUGCCCAGAUGGGAUUAGCUAGUAGGUGGGGUAAAGGCUCACCUAGGCGACGAUCCCUAGCUGGUCUGAGAGGAUGACCAGCCACCCGGGAACUGAGCCACGGGCCAGACGCCUACGGGAGGCAGCAGUGGGGAAUAUUGCAAAAUGGGAGCAAGCCUGAUGCAGCCAUGCCGCGUGUAUGAAGAAGGCCUUCGGGUUGUAAAGUACUUUCAGCGGGGAGGCGUUACCCGCAGAAGAAGCACCGGCUAACUCCGUGCCAGCCGCCGCGGUAAUAC